Molecule: ribosomal RNA, 246 nt
Filed under: uncultured Burkholderiales bacterium
Lineage: Bacteria; Pseudomonadati; Pseudomonadota; Betaproteobacteria; Burkholderiales
Description: partial 16S ribosomal RNA
Rfam family: Bacterial small subunit ribosomal RNA
Source: RNAcentral
UACGUAGGGUGCGAGCGUUAACCGGAAUUACUGGGCGUAAAGCGUGCGCAGGCGGCUUUGCAAGACAGAGGUGAAAUCCCCGGGUUCAACCUGGGAACUGCCUUUGUGACUGCAAGGCUAGAGUACGGCAGAGGGGGAUGGAAUUCCGCGUGUAGCAGUGAAAUGCGUAGAUAUGCGGAGGACACCGAUGGCGAAGGCAAUCCCCUGGGCCUGUACUGACGCUCAUGCACGAAAGCGUGGGGAGCA